UCCCUUUCCUAAGGUAUAAUUUAGGGUUUAAAUGCUGUUUCUAUUGUUUUCCCUAUUUGGUAUAAAAAUGUUUUUGUUGUACUUUAAUUGAAUUUUGUUUUCUGCUUUGGAAUUUCAGUAUGUGGUCAGUAGUUAGCUAAUUUAAGUUUUGUUUAUUGAUUUAGCUUUCAUUAUGCAAAUUUAAAUAAUUAAAUUAGCCAAAUUAAUUUUAUCCUUUUUUUUUGUGUGUGGUGUGCGCUUCAAGUUUUAUAUUAAUUGGCUAUGCUAUGGCUGCUAACUAUUAACAGUUCUCUAAUUGAAGUCAGUUUAUACUAUUUGCAAUUUUAGGUUUAAUAUUUUAUCAGUUACCAUUUAAUUAAAUAGUAUUUCAUGAAAAAUUGAAUUAUAUGUAGGUAGGGUUUUCCUUUAAAUAAUAAGGAUAGGCUUUAACAUAUUUUGGGAUCACUAUCUAAGCCUUGGCUACACAUUCUGAGAUCUAAUAUGAUGUAUAUUCCCUCAAUUAAUUUCAUUUACUCUGUUAGACUCCAUUUAGUUUAUUUUUUUAAUUAGUUCUAGUACUACUUCCCAAAUUUUAAUGAUUAAUGAUAAUAACCAUCUAUUAAUUUGGAAAGUCAUGGGGGGUUUUACCUAUUGAUUUUGUACAUAAUUAGGUUUUGGUAACUACUUACAAUAUUGUCUUUUAAGAAUAAGUUAAACAAAUGAUUUAUACAAAAAGCAGGCUUCCAUCAAGGAGAGAAAAUGAUUUGACAGUCAAUAGAAAAUAAUUAUGUUAAAUAUCACUUUUCAUUUAAAAAAAAAAUUAUACAUUGGGGAAUAAGAUUGAAAAAAAAAAUCAUAUAUUGGGGAAUAAAAUUAUAUUGGCUUUUGAGAAUUUCCCUAUGUCUUUGUUGUUCAAGUAAAAAUUUCAUUUUUAUAUGUAGCUUUUGGUUUGAAACUCCUGAGUUAUACAUUAAAUGAUUUCUGUGUAGUUGAUGGUGGGUUUACUUAAGCAAUUAGCUAAUCAAUUGACUUAUAAUUGAAAAUGGGAGUUAAUUAGACUAACUAUGGUUUUGCUUUUCAUUGACACAUGGGGUUAAUGAUUGAGAAGAAUUGAAACUCUUUUGACGUAACCGUUGUUUUUUAUUUUGGGUUUAGUAUUCAUGAUAAUAUUUUAAGUGAUAUAAAUUGUGCAUUUGGAGUAAAGUAAUGAUGGGAAUCUGUGUUGUGAAUUAGAUAGAUUGUGGCUGGUCUUUUACAGCCAACCGGUGGAGCAUUGUAUGAGAAAAGGCCUAAAAGCUUUGUUUUCCAAAAUCUGGACCAUCAGGAUGCGAGGCAAUGGUUACUAGGGAGGUUUGUUGGGCAGUUCACAGUCAAGGCAGUUAUGUGUGCGGGAAGAGCCCAAUGAUAAACUAGACCAAUCUAUAUAGGGUCAGUCUCAGGUUCCUUCAUCAUCCACUGGGAGGUCGACACUAGAUCCGGAGGGGUCUACUGCUUCAACACAGCAUCGAGCUAUACCUCUACCUCCACUGCCACCAUCGAUUACCCAUCUUCUGAGCCUGCAAUUAGAUCGACCUUUGGUCAUGAAGGUCAUUCAGUUGAGGCAGUACCAAUAUGAUUGAUGGAUAGCCUAUCACUCACUAUAUUUGGAAGAAAGAAAUGAAUAAAGCUCAUUAAUGGCGCGUUACAUCCAUCGGAGGAAUGUGCUAAGAAUAUGAAGAAUAUCUUCAAGGAGAGGAUGGACCUAGAGGGGUACUAUUGGAAAAUUAUCACACCUAAGACAAAAGAGUUUUACUGGGAUGAAUUUCAGAGUUGACUUCACUCGUAAAUAAAGCUUAGAGGCAUAAGGCUGCAGAGUGCUACAAGGCGUUAAUGUGCAAGGUCAGGAAAGGAAAAUCCAAGGUCAUCGUGCCUGACAGUACAAUGCAAAAAUAGAAGGAGGCAUAGAGUAGCCCAGAGUUUAAAACCAAAAGGCAUCAGUUCACUGCUAACCGCUAUAGUGAGAUAAGGGGAGUUAGGGCAGGCAUCUCUAGACACACAGGGGGUUCAGUUUCAAAUGUUACUCACGCAGAUAGAAUGGAAGCCCAGCUUGGCCGAAGACCUUUUCCUUGUGAACUUUUCCAUAAGACCCACACUAGGAAGGGCACCUCCGAUAUGGUUGAUGCACGAGCACAAUCAAUUAAGGAUGCAUUUUUAGUGCUUAAGGAGCAGUUAUCUCAACCACAAAAGGGGUGCAGUGACCCUCCAACUAUAGAUGAGGUCACACUAUAUUAUCAUGUUAGGGGGGGGGGGGGGGGGGAGAGAAUAACAGGGUUUAUGGCAUUGGAUCCCAAGCAUCAAUUUUCUACCCUCGCUCAUCACAUGGAUCAUCUUCUACUGCAUCCUAUCGUGCUCAGUCGGAGGCAAUGGAGGAAGAGAUUCAACAAUUGCAUCAGACUGUUGCAACACUCAAGGAUAGUUUGGCUACAAUGGAGGAGAGAAAUUGACAAUGCGAGCUGAUGCUGGAGGAGAGAUAUCGACAACGUGAGCAGACACUGGAGGUGUGACACCUCUUACCCGUCUACAGUGUAACCAAGCAAGAUAUGCCACACAGUGUGCCGGAGCACUAAAUCAUAUUUCAAUUCAAUUUACCCCUUUUUUUUUUACUCAUUUAUUUAUAAUUUUUGAUUAAUUUGAAUUUUCUGUAAAUUUUAUAGAAAAUCCAGCAAAGUGCCGGCUGUAAAUUGGAAAAACAGUUCUUCUGAAUCUGUUAAAAACACUUCCAAUAUAAUCAUAAUUUCAAUCUCAGCCA
Hevea brasiliensis (rubber tree) is the source of this 2767-nucleotide RNA transcript. RefSeq lists it as uncharacterized. The record is from RefSeq and is a predicted model, not a curated record. Lineage: Eukaryota; Viridiplantae; Streptophyta; Magnoliopsida; Malpighiales; Euphorbiaceae. The transcript is spliced from 6 exons.